This 509-nucleotide ribosomal RNA is filed under the name Cheleocloeon sp. BMNH 704123. RNAcentral's name for it is "partial 16S ribosomal RNA". It matches the Rfam family "Bacterial large subunit ribosomal RNA", at positions 1829 to 2606 of the family's 2925-position model. Lineage: Eukaryota; Metazoa; Arthropoda; Insecta; Ephemeroptera; Baetidae. The record is from RNAcentral.
ACUCGCUUAGGGCUAAAAUCCUAAGUAACGCCUGCCCAGUGUGUAUAUUAAACGGCCGCAGUAUCUUGACUGUGCAAAGGUAGCAUAAUCACUUGUCUUUUAAUUGGAGGCUUGUAUGAAUGGCGACACGUGACAAAAUCUUUCACACUAUUAAUACUCAAACUUAAUUUACAGGUCAAAAAGCCUGUACUUUUACGCAGGACGAGAAGACCCCGUAGAUCUUGACACUUAAUUUAUAAUUUAAUUAGAAACUAUAAAUAUUAUUAACGUACCGUGUUUGGUUGGGGCGAUCGGAAGCUACUUAACGCUUCCACUAAAUACCUAAAUUAAUGGUUACAAGACCCAGUCGCUGAUCAAAAGAGAAAGUUACCUUGGGGAUAACAGCGUAAUCUAAAUUAAGAGUUCUUAUCAAAAUUUAGGUUUGCGACCUCGAUGUUGGAUUAAGAAACCGUUAAGGAGCAGCAACCUUAAGCGGGGGUCUGUUCGACCUUUAAACUCUUACAUGAUCU